RNAcentral lists this ribosomal RNA (253 nucleotides) under uncultured bacterium. Its description in RNAcentral is "partial 16S ribosomal RNA". It matches the Rfam family "Bacterial small subunit ribosomal RNA", at positions 524 to 776 of the family's 1533-position model. The record is from RNAcentral.
UACGUAGGUGGCAAGCGUUGUCCGGAUUUACUGGGCGUAAAGAGCGCGCAGGCGGUCGUUCAAGUCGCGUGUGAAAGCCCCCGGCUCAACUGGGGAGGGUCACGCGAUACUGAUCGACUCGAAGGCAGGAGAGGGUAGUGGAAUUCCCGGUGUAGCGGUGAAAUGCGUAGAGAUCGGGAGGAAGGCCGGUGGCGAAGGCGGCGCUCUGGAACAUUUCUGACGCUGAGGCUCGAAAGCGUGGGGAGCAAACAGG